RNAcentral lists this ribosomal RNA (454 nucleotides) under uncultured bacterium. RNAcentral's name for it is "bacterial SSU rRNA". It matches the Rfam family "Bacterial small subunit ribosomal RNA", at positions 340 to 786 of the family's 1533-position model. The record is from RNAcentral.
UACGGAAGGCAGCAGUAGGGAAUCUUCCGCAAUGGGACGAAAGUCUGACGGAGCAACGCCGCGUGAACGAUGAAGGCUUUCGGGUCGUAAAGUUCUGUUGUUAGGGAGACAAGUACCGGAGUAACUGCCGGUACCUUGACGGUACCUAACCAGAAAGCCACGGCUAACUACGUGCCAGCAGCCGCGGUAAUACGUAGGUGGCAAGCGUUGUCCGGAAUUAUUGGGCGUAAAGCGCGCGCAGGCGGUCCUUUAAGUCUGAUGUGAAAGCCCACGGCUCAACCGUGGAGGGUCAUUGGAAACUGGGGGACUUGAGUGCAGAAGAGGAGAGUGGAAUUCCACGUGUAGCGGUGAAAUGCGUAGAGAUGUGGAGGAACACCAGUGGCGAAGGCGACUCUCUGGUCUGUAACUGACGCUGAGGCGCGAAAGCGUGGGGAGCGAACAGGGAUUAGAUACC